AAAAUUUGAGUAGAUUUCAAGAGGCAGACGGGUUGGGCCUUCCCACACGGGCUAGACACACGGCCAUGUGCCAGAUUGUGUGGAUUUUGUGAUUCGCAGUUCGAGCAUGCGAAAAAACACAAUUUGUAGGUUUUUUGGGCAUUUUAAAACCUAUAAAUACCAAAUAUAAGAAGAGAAAAGAUAGCCGCUAGAGAAUAUUGAAGAAAACAACUCAGAAAAUGCCAUUGAAGUUGACUCUAAAGUAGAUUUCUAUCAAGAUUGAAGAUCUUUUUAAUUUCUUUGAAUUUUUUAUGAGUUUCUUUAUUUCUUGUGGUUAUACUAACUUUGAGAUGUUUUUAUUCACGAU
Molecule: long non-coding RNA, 346 nt
Filed under: Gossypium barbadense (sea-island cotton)
Lineage: Eukaryota; Viridiplantae; Streptophyta; Magnoliopsida; Malvales; Malvaceae
Description: long non-coding RNA (GBAR_LNC014252)
Source: RNAcentral